Molecule: unclassified non-coding RNA, 117 nt
Organism: Pongo abelii (Sumatran orangutan)
Lineage: Eukaryota; Metazoa; Chordata; Mammalia; Primates; Hominidae
Rfam family: Metazoan signal recognition particle RNA
About the family: The signal recognition particle (SRP) is a universally conserved ribonucleoprotein.
Source: Ensembl
GCCAGGCGUGGUGGCUCACGCCUGUAAUCCCAGCGCUUUGGGAGGCCGAGGUGGGUGGAUCACCUGAGGUCAGGAGUUUGAGACCAGCCUGGCCAACAUGGUGAAACCCCAUCUCUA